GCGAGAAAACUUUGCAAUGUGCGAAAGCACGACAAGGUUAAUCCGAGUGGUUUCUGCUAAAGAAACCUUUUGUCAGUCCUAGAAACACUAACGAAUAAGGGGUGGGCAAGUUCUGGUGUCAGCCGCCGCGGUAAAACCAGCACCUCAAGUGGUCAGGAUGAUUAUUGGGCCUAAAGCAUCCGUAGCUCGUUUUGUAAGUUUUCGGUUAAAUCCAUACGCUUAACGUAUGGGCUGCCGGGAAUACUGCAUAACUAGGAAGUGGGAGAGGUAGACGGUACUCGGUAGGAAGGGGUAAAAUCCUUUGAUCUAUUGAUGACCACCUGUGGCGAAGGCGGUCUACCAGAACACGUUCGACGGUGAGGGAUGAAAGCUGGGGGAGCAAACCGGAUUAGAUACCCAAGUAGUCCCUGAGCGGGCUGGCAAGGCGCAU
This 430-nucleotide ribosomal RNA is filed under the name uncultured bacterium. Its description in RNAcentral is "bacterial SSU rRNA". It matches the Rfam family "Archaeal small subunit ribosomal RNA", at positions 339 to 776 of the family's 1478-position model. The record is from RNAcentral.